AUUGAACGCUGGCGGCAGGCCUAACACAUGCAAGUCGAGCGGCAGCGGGAAAGUAGCUUGCUACUUUUGCCGGCGAGCGGCGGACGGGUGAGUAAUGCCUGGGAAAUUGCCCAGUCGAGGGGGAUAACAGUUGGAAACGACUGCUAAUACCGCAUACGCCCUACGGGGGAAAGCAGGGGACCUUCGGGCCUUGCGCGAUUGGAUAUGCCCAGGUGGGAUUAGCUAGUUGGUGAGGUAAUGGCUCACCAAGGCGGCGAUCCCUAGCUGGUCUGAGAGGAUGAUCAGCCACACUGGAACUGAGACGCGGUCCAGACUCCUACGGGAGGCAGCAGUGGGGAAUAUUGCACAAUGGGGGAAACCCUGAUGCAGCCAUGCCGCGUGUGUGAAGAAGGCCUUCGGGUUGUAAAGCACUUUCAGCGAGGAGGAAAGGUUGAUGCCUAAUACGUAUCAACUGUGACGUUACUCGCAGAAGAAGCACCGGCUAACUCCGUGCCAGCCGCCGCAGUAA
RNAcentral lists this ribosomal RNA (508 nucleotides) under uncultured bacterium. RNAcentral's name for it is "partial 16S ribosomal RNA". It matches the Rfam family "Bacterial small subunit ribosomal RNA", at positions 30 to 523 of the family's 1533-position model. The record is from RNAcentral.